This 464-nucleotide ribosomal RNA is filed under the name uncultured bacterium. RNAcentral's name for it is "bacterial SSU rRNA". It matches the Rfam family "Bacterial small subunit ribosomal RNA", at positions 330 to 792 of the family's 1533-position model. The record is from RNAcentral.
UCCAGACUCCUACGGGAGGCAGCAGUGAGGAAUAUUGGUCAAUGGCCGAGAGGCUGAACCAGCCAAGUCGCGUGAGGGAUGACGGCCCUACGGGUUGUAAACCUCUUUUGUCGGGGAGCAAAGGGCGCCACGUGUGGCGUUUUGCGAGUACCUGAAGAAAAAGCAUCGGCUAACUCCGUGCCAGCAGCCGCGGUAAUACGGAGGAUGCGAGCGUUAUCCGGAUUUAUUGGGUUUAAAGGGUGCGCAGGCGGAAUGUCAAGUCAGCGGUAAAAUUUCGGGGCUCAACCCCGUCGUGCCGUUGAAACUGGCGUUCUUGAGUGAGCGAGAAGUAUGCGGAAUGCGCAGUGUAGCGGUGAAAUGCUUAGAUAUUGCGCAGAACUCCGAUUGCGAAGGCAGCAUACCGGCGGCGAUCUGACGCUGAGGCACGAAAGCGUGGGUAUCGAACAGGAUUAGAUACCCCAGUA